RNAcentral lists this long non-coding RNA (1686 nucleotides) under Homo sapiens (human). Its description in RNAcentral is "HSALNT0402410". Lineage: Eukaryota; Metazoa; Chordata; Mammalia; Primates; Hominidae. The record is from RNAcentral.
CUCACGGGCUUCUCUCCGCCCCAUUCCCUCUCGGCCACGCCCACCACGGCCCACUGGCCAGGGAGCCGCUACGCAGAUGUUUUCGCCUCUGCGGGUGUAGGCUCCGGGUCGGGCUUCCGGGUCCCUUUCCUGGCUCUGGCGCCUUCCAGCUGUGUGACCGGGCGAGGCCCUGAGCCUCUUGAGGGUUCAGUGCCCUCCUCCGUACAAUGGGCCAACAACAGCCCCUUCCCUGGGGAUCUCGGUGAGGGUUGGUUGCUCUGCAGGGUGCCCUGGGCCUGUGCCAGCGCGCUCAGGCAUCCUGGUGACCAACCACAGCUGGCACUGGUGAACGCAGCCUCUUAGCCCAGGCAGGCUCUGGUCAGCCUCACCUGCUGGGACCGCUGAGUGGUCCAAGAGCUGGCUUGGCUGACUGGGACCUGGGCCUCAGCUUCCCCAUCUGUGCAGGGGGCCGCUGGUGAUACCGGUCCCUGCCAUGCCCUGGUGGAGAUAUGGCCCAGUGAGACUUCGUGAGGGGUCUAGGCCACUGCUGUCACGUGGUACGUCUUCUACCCUGGCCCCUAGGUGGCCCUGGCCUCAGCCUUGCUCUAAAGAGGAAUGAAGCCCAGCCCACAGCCCCUUAGCACAGAUACGCUCGGGAGACGGGACCCUCACCGUUACUCAUCUCCUUACUGUUCCCUGGACACCUUGGGGUCCCUGCGCCUCUCCACCCGUCCCUGCCAGGUCCUCCUGCUCCACCACAGGCCAUCUCCCUGGGCCUCAUCCAGACAGCUGGACACUGAGCACAGCUCUGUUGUCCUCUUCCCUGGGCUGAGUGGACUCAGAGGUGCUGGGGACUGCAUGGCCGCCGGACGAGGCGGGGGCUUUCCAACCCAACACCACCGAGCCUGCCUCUUCCUGCCCUGGAUGCUAUGUCUUCCAUAGAGCCGCUUUUCCAACACAGCAGGUAUGAAGUAUCCACCGGCCAUCUGAAAAUAAUGCAGUAACUAAGAAAAACAGUGGCGAGAGGAAGGAGUGUCGAUGCCCCAAAUGGAUCAUCUUCCAGAGCACGUCUACACCGAGAUCAAGAAUGAAAAGGAAUUGGGAUCCUGACACAUCCACCAAAGAGCCUUUGAGUACUUCGAAAUCACUUGGAACAGGUUCCUGCAAAGCAAACCCUUCUGGGCUUGAGGAGGAAAUGGACCCGGAACAUUCAGCCCAUCUGAGCACAAACUUUCUGUUGACCUGAGAGGCUGAGGCCUUCCUGUUCCCCACUCAGACCCAGGAGGCAGCCUGCCCAGGGGGAGCCGGGGCAUGGCCUACGAGCUCCUGGAGUCAGGCAGCUCCUGAGGGGCCGGAUGGUCUUGGGCUGGCCAAGCCAGCCUCUGUCGUCCUGUGGAUGGUGGGGCCUUGUGUACGCAUAGCCUCUGCACAGGGGCACACUGUGGGUGUUUGGACGGACAGUGUCUCAAAAACCCAAUUCAGGGCUUGACAGCAGAUUUGUCCUCCACUCCAUGUGCAUAUGAGCAAGGAGAGUUAAUGCAAAGCUUUCUUCAUAGCAGAAGGUUGAAAACAAUGUACCUUUCUAUCAGCAGAGCAGGCAAGGGGGAUACUGUGUGUUUCCCACUGCUGCUGGGACAAAUUAUAACAAAUGUAGCAGCGUAAACCAACGUCCAUUUUUCAUCUCAUGCUCUGGAGGUCAGAGGUUCU